This is a long non-coding RNA of Zalophus californianus (California sea lion), 774 nucleotides long. RefSeq lists it as uncharacterized. The record is from RefSeq and is a predicted model, not a curated record. NCBI's taxonomy places the organism in Eukaryota, Metazoa, Chordata, Mammalia, Carnivora, Otariidae. The transcript is spliced from 4 exons.
GGGGUGGGGUGUGAUGUCAAAACUCGCCAGCACCUGCGGUCUCCGCUGUCUGGUUGGGGCUGGGAGUUGAAGGGCUUCUGACGGACACCCAUCUACCCUAUUUAUUAGGCUCCUGGUUGGGGCAGGCAGCCCCGUGCAGGGACCAGGGUGCGGCCAGGAGUAAGGGAGACCCAUGCCGGCCCUCAUGGAGCUCCCAAGUGCAAGUUUCACGUCUCAGCCGGAAGAGUCAAAAAGAGUCUCCGAGCACCUUAUUCACACCAGAGUGGUUCUACGAGACCCGUGAUUUUUCUGGAAGGAGGAAGGAGGAAAGAAGGUCUUGUCCAUUCUCUGCCCUACUACUUCCUUCCAUGCUGGGAGCUUACGGAGACAGAUCACGCAUGCCAGACUCUUCCAGAAGAAAGGUUCUAGGUCAGCAGUAGCCUGGUUACCAUUCCCACCAUGGAACUAGGGGACUGGAUGUCGGGUGGUCUGCGAUUCUCUUGGCCAUCCCAGUGCAGACCAGUGGACAGGAGCAGAAGCCCCCACUCCAGGACUGGAAUGAUGUGGUGCCAAGAAAGGACCGACUGGUAGUAAGGGGCCCUCUUGAGGCACUUGAGAAGGAGAUAGAAGGGAAGUUUGUUUUUCACAGUGGCCCCGGAUGUGGAAUUUGGACGAGCACAUAUGUACAGGUGAGUACUGGGACUGGGUGAGACAUGGUGCCACUCCUGCGGGAUUUCCUGAGGCUUCUAUUUCUUGAAAUAUAUCGCGACAUGGGGCACCUCCAUUUGCGUUACA